UUCGGGGAGCUUGCACAGGUGCUGCAUGGCUGUCGUCAGCUCGUGUCGUGAGAUGUUCGGUUAAGUCCGCUAACGAGCGCAACCCUCGCUGUGUGUUAUAUGUGUCACACGGGACUGCCGGUCUUAAGCCGGAGGAAGUGGGGAUGAUGUCAAGUCAGCAUGGCCUUUAUAUCCUGGGCUACACACACGCUACAAUGGCCAACACAAUAGGUUGCUAAGCCGCGAGGUGGCGCCAAUCCAUAAAGUUGGUCUCAGUUCAGAUUGUAGGCUGCAACCCGCCUGCAUGAAGAUGGAGUUGCUAGUAACCGCAGGUCAGCUAUACUGCGGUGAAUACGUUCCCGGGGCUU
This 347-nucleotide ribosomal RNA is filed under the name uncultured Leptolinea sp. RNAcentral's name for it is "bacterial SSU rRNA". It matches the Rfam family "Bacterial small subunit ribosomal RNA", at positions 1020 to 1382 of the family's 1533-position model. The record is from RNAcentral. Lineage: Bacteria; Bacillati; Chloroflexota; Anaerolineae; Anaerolineales; Anaerolineaceae.